RNAcentral lists this long non-coding RNA (233 nucleotides) under Elaeis guineensis (African oil palm). RNAcentral describes it as "long non-coding RNA (EGUI_LNC000970)". The record is from RNAcentral. Lineage: Eukaryota; Viridiplantae; Streptophyta; Magnoliopsida; Arecales; Arecaceae.
UAAAGCGAUCAUUAUUUACUGGACUGUCUAGCUCAUUACCUCUUUAUUUUAUUUUUCAGAUUUAGAUUGUAAAUUACGAACAUGGAUGCUAUUUUGGAAGUGAGCUAGAAGCAAGUAACAACAGCAUAGAUUUAUUGUUAUAUUUUUAUAAGAUUGUUAUUUGAAGUAUAAUUGAUGUAAGAUCUAUUAAAUAUUAUUGAAUUUAUUGAAAUAUUCAAGUUAAAAUUUAGAUU